Molecule: transfer RNA, 111 nt
Filed under: Exophiala aquamarina CBS 119918
Lineage: Eukaryota; Fungi; Ascomycota; Eurotiomycetes; Chaetothyriales; Herpotrichiellaceae
Rfam family: tRNA
About the family: Transfer RNA (tRNA) molecules are approximately 80 nucleotides in length. Their secondary structure includes four short double-helical elements and three loops (D, anti-codon, and T loops).
Source: Rfam by way of RNAcentral
GUCUGGAUGGUCUAGUCGGUUAUGACGUCGGUCUCAUAGAUUCCUAUACUGUGAUCUUGCUCGACGCAAGAAGCUAUCCGAAGGUCACGAGUUCGAUUCUCGUUCUGGACA